RNAcentral lists this long non-coding RNA (1287 nucleotides) under Marmota monax (woodchuck). The record is from RNAcentral. Lineage: Eukaryota; Metazoa; Chordata; Mammalia; Rodentia; Sciuridae.
GGAGCAGGUGGGCACCGGAAUCCUGCUCCUGUUCUUGGGAGAAAUGCCCCUGUCAGCAGGGAGCUGCUGUGCGCCCCAUUCUGCUGGCCUGCCUGUAUUGGGGUGCUCGUCCUCCUGCAGCUGGGCCCCUGCAGUUUCUUUCCGAGGCAGCUCCUUCCAGGUGAACCGCGCACUCUGCGGGUAGGGCCUACCUCCUCGCCUGGCAGCCACUGGAGAUAAUGAAACAUCUAGAAUCAGGAGACGCAGAAAAUCUUUCCAAAAUUAAAAACAGUUUUAACUACGAGCAUUCCCUGCUAACAGCCAGCCAGGGGGGAGAUGUUUAGCCCCCCAGCCCCUCAGGAAGAUAGCCUGAGUUCCGGAGCAGAGCCCUCAGCCCCAGUGAACCUUCAGGCCAAACAGGUCUGUCUGCAGCUGGGUAGAACCUCUCGGGGUCAACUGCCCCAACCGAGGCUCAGCCAACAUCCCCAGUGGUCAGCACGGCCAGGCCACAGCCACCCCGCCUCACCUGCGUCCCCUGGCUUUGCAGGGAGCUGCGUCCCAGGCCUGUGCCGAGUGCAUUUGGCACCUGUGUUUCCUUGGAGCUCUUCUGCUUCCCAGAUUCUUCCUCCUGGGCUCCUCCCAGAAUGUGCAGGGGGUGGGGGGUCAGGACACCACCCGGUCUCAUCCUCCUGCCUCUGUCUGUCCUGGUAUAAGUGUUCGGAACUUCGUUGUGGCUCAGGCUGUUCUGACACUCCGCAGGGUACAUGGUGGCAGGCCCCUCCUGGCAUGGCUCAGAACCAGCUCUCCACCGUUCUCUCAGUGGAGGGCCCCAGCAGAGUCUUCCCCAGAGCCUCUACCACAGGGUUCCCAGCCCAGGGUCAGAGACCCACCAGGGACACAGGCAGCCUGCAAGUGUUGCCAUUUUCAAGGAACAGCUACCUUUCCUGCAUGGACAUGGGCGGGACUGCAGUGCCCUCCCCCAGCUCUCAUCUCUGGGGCGUUGGGCAUGGUGUUCGCCUUGGUCCACGCAAUGAGUCACCUUAAACACUAGGGACAGCAGCAUCUUCCCUCUCAAUAGAAAUCCUGCCCUGGCCAAUCGCUCAGAUUUCAGCUGAUUAAAGGAAAACUGGAUUUCCUCAGCAGUGGCAUUUUGGUCCUUUCUGAAAGAGAAAGGAGACACUCACUGUCCCCUGAGGACUGAAGACCUGGAAGUUAACCCAUUAGGCCCCAAGCUGUCCAUCCAUAAAUCUUUCAAUGAAUCUGACGCAGGUGCUUAAAAUAGAUUGGAAAUCAAUCCAGAGCUUAUGC